AACGAACGCUGGCGGCAUGCCUAACACAUGCCAGUCGAACGAGACCUUCGGGUCUAGUGGCGCACGGGUGUGUAACGCGUGGGAACCUGCCCUCAGGUUCGGAAUAACUCCCCGAAAGGGGUGCUAAUACCGGAUAAUGUCUACGGACCAAAGAUUUAUCGCCUUUGGAUGGGCCCGCGUUGGAUUAGCUAGUUGGUAGGGUAAAAGCCUACCAAGGCGACGAUUCAUAGCUGGUCUGAGAGGAUGAUCAGCCACACUGGGACUGGGACACGGCCCAGACUCCUACGGGAGGCAGCAGUGGGGAAUAUUGGACAAUGGGCGAAGGCCUGAUCCAGCAAUGCCGCGUGAGUGAUGAAGGCCUUAGGGUUGUAAAGCUCUUUUACCCGGGAUGAUAAUGACAGUACCGGGAGAAUAAGCUCCGGCUAACUCCGUG
RNAcentral lists this ribosomal RNA (433 nucleotides) under uncultured bacterium. RNAcentral's name for it is "partial 16S ribosomal RNA". It matches the Rfam family "Bacterial small subunit ribosomal RNA", at positions 29 to 507 of the family's 1533-position model. The record is from RNAcentral.